RNAcentral lists this ribosomal RNA (253 nucleotides) under uncultured bacterium. RNAcentral describes it as "partial 16S ribosomal RNA". It matches the Rfam family "Bacterial small subunit ribosomal RNA", at positions 524 to 776 of the family's 1533-position model. The record is from RNAcentral.
GACGAAGGGUGCGAGCGUUGUUCGGAAUCACUGGGCCUAGAGCGCACGUAGGCGGCGGCGUAAGUCGGGUGUGAAAUCCCUCGGCCCAACCGAGGAACUGCGCCCGAUACUGCGUUGCUUGAGGAUCAGAGGGGUGCACGGAAUUUCCGGUGGAGCGGUGAAAUGCGUUGAUAUCGGAAGGAACGUCGGCGGCGAAAGCGGUGCACUGGCUGAUUUCUGACGCUGAGGUGCGAAAGCCAGGGGAGCAAACGGG